RNAcentral lists this ribosomal RNA (503 nucleotides) under uncultured bacterium. Its description in RNAcentral is "bacterial SSU rRNA". It matches the Rfam family "Bacterial small subunit ribosomal RNA", at positions 28 to 521 of the family's 1533-position model. The record is from RNAcentral.
GACGAACGCUGGCGGCGUGGAUUAGGCAUGCAAGUCGAACGGUAUCAUCCUUUCGGGGGUGAGAGAGUGGCGAACUGGUGAGUAACACGUAGGUUAUCUACCCUCAAGACGGGGACAACCCAGGGAAACUUGGGCUAAUACCGGAUGUGAGCAACUUUUAGUUGUUUGAAAGGUGGCGUAAGCUGUCGCUUGGGGAUGAGCCUGCGUCCUAUUAGUUAGUUGGUGAGGUAACGGCUCACCUAGGCAAUGAUAGGUAGGCGGCCUUAACGGGUGGUCGCCCACACUGGGAUUGAGAUACGGCCCAGACUCCUACGGGAGGCAGCAGUCGAGAAUAGUCUACAAUGGUUGGAAGACUGAUAGUGCGACGCCGCGUGAACGAAGAAGCCCUUCGGGGUGUAAAGUUCUUUUAUAUGUGAGCAGUGCUUUCUAUGUGAACAGCAUGGGGAGAGAGAUAUUAGCAUAUGAAAUAAGCAACGGCUAACUCCGUGCCAGCAGCCCGCGGU